CUACAGUCCCGGAAACGGAUCGCGUUGGGUGAAGGUGACGGCGUCGAGCGUGGGAGACAAUGCCUUGGAACUGCAAAUCUUCUCUGAGUCUGAAGCAUCCUGCCUGACGCGUUUGCUCACAUUGACCCGUGCCUUCCCUCAGUCCCUCUCAUCUCUACUGAGAUUCCGUCUCACCCUGACCCUGUGACAUGAACUUCUGAAGAGUCCACUGGGCAUGGUCCUGGGAAGGGCUCACACCCAGACAUGGAUGGAGACGGGAUCUGUCUCGUAACUGUGUAAUCAAGGAACUAGCACCACAACAGGAAGGUAACCCAGGAGAAGUAUUCCACACAGUGACAUUGGAACAACAUGAAAAACAUGACAUUGAAGAGUUUUGCUUCAGAGAAAUCAAGAAAAAAAUACACGACUUUGACUGUCAGUGGAGAGAUGAUGAAAGAAAUUGCAACAAAGUGACUACGGCCCCAAAAGAAAAUCUUACUUGUAGGAGAGACCAACGCGAUAGAAGAGGUAUAGGAAACAAGUCUAUUAAACAUCAGCUUGGAUUAAGCUUUCUACCACAU
RNAcentral lists this small RNA (560 nucleotides) under Pan troglodytes (chimpanzee). RNAcentral describes it as "processed transcript". Lineage: Eukaryota; Metazoa; Chordata; Mammalia; Primates; Hominidae. The record is from RNAcentral.